CAGUAGUGUUGGUCUCCAGACUGUCAGGUAGAUGAGUAUAACAGUAGUGUUGGUCUCCAGACUGUCAGGUAGAUGAUUAUAACAGUAGUGUUGGUCCUGGUCUCCAGACUGUCAGGUAGAUGAUUAUAACAGUAGUGUUGGUCUCCAGGCUGUCAGGUAGAUGAUUAUAACAGUAGUGUUGGUCUCCAGACUGUCAGGAUGAUGAUUAUAACAGUAGUGUUGGUCUCCAGACUGUCAGGAUGAUGAUUAUAACAGUAGUGUUGGUCCUGGUCUCCAGACUGUCAGGUAGAUGAUUAUAACAGUAGUGUUGGUCUCCAGACUGUCAGGUAGAUGAUUAUAACAGUAGUGUUGGUCCUGGUCUCCAGGCUGUCAGGUAGAUGAUUAUAACAGUAGUGUUGGUCCUG
RNAcentral lists this long non-coding RNA (404 nucleotides) under Salmo salar (Atlantic salmon). RNAcentral describes it as "lncRNA (ENSSSAG00000096738.1)". Lineage: Eukaryota; Metazoa; Chordata; Actinopteri; Salmoniformes; Salmonidae. The record is from RNAcentral.